RNAcentral lists this ribosomal RNA (506 nucleotides) under uncultured bacterium. Its description in RNAcentral is "partial 16S ribosomal RNA". It matches the Rfam family "Bacterial small subunit ribosomal RNA", at positions 29 to 523 of the family's 1533-position model. The record is from RNAcentral.
AGUGAACGCUGGCGGUAGGCCUAACACAUGCAAGUCGAACGGCAGCACAGGAGAGCUUGCUCUCUGGGUGGCGAGUGGCGGACGGGUGAGGAAUACAUCGGAAUCUACUUUUUCGUGGGGGAUAACGUAGGGAAACUUACGCUAAUACCGCAUACGACCUACGGGUGAAAGCAGGGGACCUUCGGGCCUUGCGCGAUUGAAUGAGCCGAUGUCGGAUUAGCUAGUUGGCGGGGUAAAGGCCCACCAAGGCGACGAUCCGUAGCUGGUCUGAGAGGAUAAUCAGCCACACUGGAACUGAGACACGGUCCAGACUCCUACGGGAGGCAGCAGUGGGGAAUAUUGGACAAUGGGCGCAAGCCUGAUCCAGCCAUACCGCGUGGGUGAAGAAGGCCUUCGGGUUGUAAAGCCCUUUUGUUGGGAAAGAAAUCCAGCUGGCUAAUACCCGGUUGGGAUGACGGUACCCAAAGAAUAAGCACCGGCUAACUUCGUGCCAGCCGCCGCGGUAA